Molecule: long non-coding RNA, 414 nt
Organism: Sus scrofa (pig)
Lineage: Eukaryota; Metazoa; Chordata; Mammalia; Artiodactyla; Suidae
Source: RefSeq, a predicted model, not a curated record
AUCUGAGCCAUUUCAGUCACUGGACUAAGCUUUGGAUGAAGGGAGAGGGAAGAAACAUUUACUGAGCACUUGCCGUGUGGUCGGCUCUAUGACAGCCACUGCACAAGUGUGGUCUCAUUUACCACCACCUAACAAUGUCUCAUGGAAGCAGGUGUAAUUAUCCCACCAUUCGGAUGAUGGAUUUGGGGAUCAGUCUUGUGACUCUCCAAAUGCUGCAUGGCUGGUACGUGCAUUCAAGAAUGCCGAUGUGACUUGCCAGUGAUUGAUUUGGGGAGAUGAUCAGUCUUUGUCACUAACAGUGAACAAAACUCCUAACUGAUAUAUCCUACCUUUAAAUGGAAUGUGGAAACUGACACUGGAAGGCAUCCAAUAAGCACAUUUGCUCUUGCCUCCACCCACCGUCUUUCCUUACAG